UUCAUUUAAGUACUUAACUAAUCGAUUAUUUUUAUUUUUAGACGAAAUGUAAGGUUACGAUAUCUUACGAUCGAAAAAAUUCUUAUUUUUUAGUUUUGAGUUAGUUAUUUUAAAAGAUAUAAAAUAUAUUUGUUACAUCUACGAAACUAUUUCGAAGUACAUAUAAAAAUAUUCGAGUAAAACUUGAAACUUGCUUAAAAAAAACUAAUACGCAUGCUGUUUCAUAUAUCCUUUCACUUCCCCUGCUUAAGUUUGUGAUACAUAGAAAUCUAAUAGGCGUUUCACAUUCUAAUACAUAGAUAUUUUAGGUCAAAAAUACUGCUUUGAUAAGUGUUCAAAUAUCUUAUCGGAUUAUCCAGUAAAUGUGAUAAUAAAAAUUCUAUUAAUACGUAAAAUCAUCGUCUCUAGUUCUCUUAAGCGCAUUGCGAUUCAGCUGAUUAUACACUUUUAUAACUAUCGUAAAUAGUUGCUAUAUGUAGUUUAAAAAAAAAAUGUUUUCUUUAAGAAGAACAUUGUUAGUUAAAUCUAAAUUAUGUAUUAAAAAAUUACACACUUCCAAUUCAUUAUAUGAUGCUAUUAAAAUAGAUGGAAAUGAAAUUUCGAAACAAAUUAAGGAAGAAUUAAAAAAUGACAUUGAUGCCUGGGUAAAAGCAGGUAAUAAAAAACCUAAGUUAGUAGCUAUUCUUGUAGGAGAGAAUCCUGCUAGCCAAACUUAUGUUCGAAGAAAGAUGGAAUCUGCCAAUAUCAUUAUUCGUUUAGGCAUAGAAAGUUAUACAAUCAAUCUGAAAGAAAAUACGACUCAAAGAAUUUUACUGGAAAAUAUAAAUAGUUUGAAUGAAGAUCCAUCAGUAGAUGGCAUCAUUGUGCAAUUACCAUUACCAAAGGGUCUCAAUGAAAAAGAAGUGUGUCAAGCAAUAUCACCCAAAAAAGAUGUAGAUGGUUUUCAUUUAGAAAAUAUAGGAAAUUUGACAUUGGACAGUAAAGGUAUUAUACCAGCUACUGUCCUAGGUGUAAAAGAAUUGAUAGUUAGAUCAAAUAUAAAAACCUUUGGAAAGCAUGCAGUUGUAAUAGGCAGAUCAAAACAUGUUGGUUUACCAAUAGCUUUAUUGCUACAUGCAGAUGGCAAAGGAGCUACGGGUGGAUUGGAUAUGACAACAACAAUUUGUCAUAUCCAUACUCCUUCUGAUCAGUUAAAACAAAUGACAAGACUUGCUGACUUAGUAGUAGUAGCUGCUGGUGUUCCUGGUUUAGUAACCGAAGAUAUGAUCAAACCUGGAGCUUGUGUAAUUGAUGUUGGAAUUAACAGAGUAAAAGAUAAAACUAGUAAUAGAAAUAUACUUGUUGGAGAUGUGGAUUAUGAAAAUGUAAAAAGAGUUGCACAAUAUAUUACACCUGUACCAGGAGGUGUGGGUCCUAUGACUGUUACAAUGUUGUUAAAAAAUACGUUUACAGUGGCUAUGAAAAAUUCGCAACACAAGAAACAUUUAAAAAAUAUUAUUUCUGAAGUGAGAUAAAUCUUAUCUAUUGUGUUAUUUUACUCAUUUUGUAAAACAACAGAUCAGCAAAUAUAAAAUAGCUUUCUAUUUACAUUUGAAACUUUUUAAAUAAUAAGGAAACAUACGUUCAAAUUUGGAGUAUAAUCGCAACUCCAGCAAGAAUCCAUUUAUUAGGUUUGUCUCGGGUUCUUAAAUUGAACGUCCAGACGUAAGUUGGACCACGAGUUCUUGUUUUGUAAACUGGACAUUCAUACAUAUUUUUAAGAUCUUGCUUAUCUUGUGUUAUUGCUCUAAUAUAUACUACUGGCAUUAAAGGAAACAAUUCUUUUAAACGUGCAUCCGAGAUUACACCUGUUUCAAUAUCCCAACGAGCUCCUUCCAUGUAUAAACUAUUAAUGUAGGAACCUUCACGUGGUGGUGCACUAUAGAAACAAAAGUGAAAAGUAUCUUAUUAUUUAUACAAAAUCCGGACAUUGUAACAAUAUAAAUGAUAUUUCCUUACGUAACUUCAUCCUUUUGUUUUGUAGUUACUUCGCAAUGUAGACACAUUUUAUCUAAAGGCCAUUCAUUUUUACGUGCAGUUUGUUGCAUAAUUGCUGUAAGAAAGGACUGAGGAUUAAAGAAUCCCCCUAGCCAUACUGAUGAAGGAAGCUAUUAGAAAAAUUUGACAUUAAUGUAUAUAGCUGUGUAAAUAAUAAAAUAAAAUA
Vespa mandarinia (Asian giant hornet) is the source of this 2203-nucleotide unclassified non-coding RNA. Lineage: Eukaryota; Metazoa; Arthropoda; Insecta; Hymenoptera; Vespidae. The record is from RefSeq and is a predicted model, not a curated record.